Molecule: ribosomal RNA, 616 nt
Filed under: uncultured Legionella sp.
Lineage: Bacteria; Pseudomonadati; Pseudomonadota; Gammaproteobacteria; Legionellales; Legionellaceae
Description: bacterial SSU rRNA
Rfam family: Bacterial small subunit ribosomal RNA
Source: RNAcentral
UAGCUAGUUGGUGGGGUAAAGGCCUACCAAGGCGACGAUCGGUAGCUGGUCUGAGAGGAUGACCAGCCACACUGGAACUGAGACACGGUCCAGACUCCUACGGGAGGCAGCAGUGGGGAAUAUUGGACAAUGGGGGCAACCCUGAUCCAGCAAUGCCGCGUGUGUGAAGAAGGCCUGAGGGUUGUAAAGCACUUUCAGUGGGGAGGAGGAUUGUUUGUUUAAGAGAUGAGCAAUUGGACGUUACCCACAGAAGAAGCACCGGCUAACUCCGUGCCAGCAGCCGCGGUAAUACGGAGGGUGCAAGCGUUAAUCGGAAUUACUGGGCGUAAAGGGUGCGUAGGUGGUUAUGUAAGUUAUGUGUGAAAUCCCUGGGCUCAACCUGGGCAGGUCAUAUAAUACUGCAUGACUCGAGUGUGGGAGAGGGUAGUGGAAUUUCCGGUGUAGCGGUGAAAUGCGUAGAGAUCGGAAGGAACACCAGUGGCGAAGGCGGCUACCUGGCCUAACACUGACACUGAGGCACGAAAGCGUGGGGAGCAAACAGGAUUAGAUAUCCUGGUAGUCCACGCUGUAAACGAUGUCAACUAGCUGUUGGUUAUAUAAAAAUAAUUAGUGGCGC